This 86-nucleotide transfer RNA is filed under the name Gimesia chilikensis. Its description in RNAcentral is "tRNA-Ser". The record is from RNAcentral. Lineage: Bacteria; Pseudomonadati; Planctomycetota; Planctomycetia; Planctomycetales; Planctomycetaceae.
GGAAGUCAUCCGGCUGGAUGAGGGCCCUGUCUUGAAAACAGGUGGUGUCUUGUGGCAUUUGUGGGUUCGAGUCCCACGGCUUCCGC